Non-coding RNA from Pelobates cultripes (western spadefoot toad), 115 nucleotides. The record is from the annotation of a GenBank genome assembly. Lineage: Eukaryota; Metazoa; Chordata; Amphibia; Anura; Pelobatidae.
GUCAGGGAUGGCUGAGCUGUCUAAGGCGCCUAGACCCCAAGAUCAACUCUUCCUACUAAUAUAUGGGUGUUCUGGUCUCCACGUGGAGGCGUGGGUUCAAAUCCCACUUCUGACA